Molecule: transfer RNA, 82 nt
Filed under: Leptospiraceae bacterium
Lineage: Bacteria; Pseudomonadati; Spirochaetota; Leptospiria; Leptospirales; Leptospiraceae
Description: tRNA-Leu
Rfam family: tRNA
About the family: Transfer RNA (tRNA) molecules are approximately 80 nucleotides in length. Their secondary structure includes four short double-helical elements and three loops (D, anti-codon, and T loops). Further hydrogen bonds mediate the characteristic L-shaped molecular structure. tRNAs have two regions of fundamental functional importance: the anti-codon, which is responsible for specific mRNA codon recognition, and the 3' end, to which the tRNAs corresponding amino acid is attached (by aminoacyl-tRNA synthetases). tRNAs cope with the degeneracy of the genetic code in two manners: having more than one tRNA (with a specific anti-codon) for a particular amino acid; and 'wobble' base-pairing, i.e. permitting non-standard base-pairing at the 3rd anti-codon position.
Source: RNAcentral
GCGAGUGUGGUGAAAUUGGCAGACACGCCAGAUUUAGGUUCUGGUGCCGAAAGGUGUGGGGGUUCAAGUCCCUUCACUCGCA